Molecule: small RNA, 1021 nt
Filed under: Pongo abelii (Sumatran orangutan)
Lineage: Eukaryota; Metazoa; Chordata; Mammalia; Primates; Hominidae
Description: retained intron
Source: RNAcentral
GGCAUGUGGUCUGCAGAAGAGGAGGACGUGGCUGGGUGGCAGGGCUGGUUUCCAAGGACGAGUGAGAUCCUGCAGCUGGGGGCUUCAGGAAGUCUCCUGGGGCUAUCAGAUGGCUCCUUCUUGUAGCAGCAGCUGUGGGGUCCACUGGCCCUGAGCCCUCAGAGGGGAGGCCGUGGGGGACCUCCUGUCUUUUGCCUUGCAAGGGCCUCAGUUGUGUUUUUUCCCUCUAGGCAGCCAUGGGUGCCAGGCAGUGCUGAGAGCAGUGGGGCAUGGCUGCAGCCCUGCAGGUCCUGCCCCGCUUGGCCCGAGCCCCCUUGCAUCCACUCCUCUGGCGGGGCUCAGUGGCCCGUCUGGCCAGCAGCAUGGCCUUGGCAGAGCAGGCCAGGCAGCUGUUUGAGACUGCUGUAGGUGCAGUGCUGCCGGGCCCCAUGCUGCACCGGGCACUAUCCUUGGACCCUGGUGGCAGACAGCUGCAGGUGCGGGACCGGAACUUUCAGCUGAGGCAAAACCUCUACCUGGUGGGCUUUGGCAAGGCUGUGCUGGGCAUGGCAGCUGCAGCUGAGGAACUACUGGGCCAGCAUCUUGUGCAGGGCGUGAUCAGCGUUCCCAAGGGGAUCCGUGCUGCCAUGGAGCGCGCCGGCAAGCAGGAGAUGCUGCUGAAGCCACAUAGCCGUGUCCAGGUAUUCGAGGGUGCGGAGGACAACCUCCCGGACCGCGAUGCGCUGCGGGCUGCGCUGGCCAUCCGGCAACUGGCCGAGGGACUCACAGCUGAUGACCUGCUGCUCGUGCUGAUCUCAGGUGGUGAGCCUCAUCCUGUCAGAUGUGGUGGGGGACCCUGUGGAGGUGAUUGCCAGCGGCCCCACUGUGGCCAGUUCCCACAAUGUGCAAGAUUGCCUGCAUAUCCUCAAUCGCUACGGCCUCCGUGCAGCCCUGCCACGUUCCGUGAAGACUGUGCUGUCUCGGGCCGAUUCUGACCCCCAUGGGCCACACACCUGUGGCCAUGUCCUGAAUGUGAUCAUUG